UUUAGAGUUUGAUUCCAUGGCUCAGGAUGAACGCUGGCGGCGUGCUUAACACAUGCAAGUCGAACGAUGAAGCCCAGCUUGCUGGGUGGAUUAGUGGCGAACGGGUGAGUAACACGUGAGUAACCUGCCCUUAACUCUGGGAUAAGCCUGGGAAACUGGGUCUAAUACCGGAUAGGAGCGUCCACCGCAUGGUGGGUGUUGGAAAGAUUUAUCGGUUUUGGAUGGACUCGCGGCCUAUCAGCUUGUUGGUGAGGUAAUGGCUCACCAAGGCGACGACGGGUAGCCGGCCUGAGAGGGUGACCGGCCACACUGGGACUGAGACACGGCCCAGACUCCUACGGGAGGCAGCAGUGGGGAAUAUUGCACAAUGGGCGCAAGCCUGAUGCAGCGACGCCGCGUGAGGGAUGACGGCCUUCGGGUUGUAAACCUCUUUCAGUAGGGAAGAAGCGAAAGUGACGGUACCUGCAGAAGAAGCACCGCAA
The sequence is a ribosomal RNA, 482 nucleotides long. It matches the Rfam family "Bacterial small subunit ribosomal RNA", at positions 1 to 499 of the family's 1533-position model.